AGUGAACGCUGGCGGUAGGCCUAACACAUGCAAGUCGAACGGCAGCACAGUAAGAGCUUGCUCUUACGGGUGGCGAGUGGCGGACGGGUGAGGAAUACAUCGGAAUCUACUUUUUCGUGGGGGAUAACGUAGGGAAACUUACGCUAAUACCGCAUACGACCUACGGGUGAAAGCAGGGGAUCUUCGGACCUUGCGCGAAUGAAUGAGCCGAUGUCGGAUUAGCUAGUUGGCGGGGUAAAGGCCCACCAAGGCGACGAUCCGUAGCUGGUCUGAGAGGAUGAUCAGCCACACUGGAACUGAGACACGGUCCAGACUCCUACGAGAGGCAGCAGUGGGGAAUAUUGGACAAUGGGCGCAAGCCUGAUCCAGCCAUACCGCGUGGGUGAAGAAGGCCUUCCGGUUGUAAAGCCCUUUUGUUGGGAAAGAAAAGCAGCAGGUUAAUACCCCGCUGUUCUGACGGUACCCAAAGAAUAAGCACCGGCUAACUUCGUG
RNAcentral lists this ribosomal RNA (492 nucleotides) under uncultured bacterium. RNAcentral's name for it is "partial 16S ribosomal RNA". It matches the Rfam family "Bacterial small subunit ribosomal RNA", at positions 29 to 507 of the family's 1533-position model. The record is from RNAcentral.